This 1069-nucleotide long non-coding RNA is filed under the name Homo sapiens (human). Its description in RNAcentral is "HSALNT0124169". The record is from RNAcentral. Lineage: Eukaryota; Metazoa; Chordata; Mammalia; Primates; Hominidae.
CUCCCGGGUUCAAACGAUUCUUCUGCCUCAGCCUCUUGAGUUGCUGGGAUUACAGGCACCAGUCACCACGCCCAGCUAAUUUUUGUAUUUUUAGUAGAGGCGGGGUUUCACCAUGUUGGCCAGGCUGGUCUUGAACUCCUGACCUCGAGAUCCGCCUGGCUCAGCGUCCCAAAAUUCUGGGAUUACAGGUGUGAGCCACCGUGUCUGGCUGCAAUUUUUAAUAUUUGACUGUUCCCAGCCUUUGUGAGUUUCCUCCUUUGCCUGUGAAGAGAAUAUCGUCUUUGAUGCAUGCAACUUCACAGUCCACAAGGUGACUCAGCCUUCAUCAAAUGAUUUCCUGCAAUUUUUAAAAAAUGCUGAAUUGAAGAAUUUUCCUAUGAUGAGGGAGAGAUGAGAAGUAAAGGCAAGGACUUGAUGAGAAAGGCCCAAAAGAGCUGCAUAAGAAGGAGAGGGAGGAAAAAGCCACCUGGGUACGGAAAGUGCCUGGAGAAGGAGGAGAGAGACUCCUCUGAGUGUGGGGAAGACAAGUCUGUUGGCAACGAGAGGCUCUGCAGAAUACAGGAGCACUAGCCAGGAGAGGAAGAAGAGGACACACCCCUCCCUACCCUUUCCAGCCUCUGGUAACCAUCCUUCUACUCUCUAUCCCGGUUUCUCCCAAAUCUUGGCAAUUGUGAACAGUGCUGCAACAAACACAGGAGUGCAAAUAUCUCUUCAAGGUUUGAUGAUGUCCUGGCCAAGUGUGGUGCCUCAUGUUUGUAAUCCUAGCACUUUGGGAGGCCAAGGCAGGAGGAUUGCUUGAGGCUAGGAGUUGGAGACCAGCCUGGGCAACAUGGUGAAAUCCUGUCUCUACAAAAAAUACAAAAAUUAACUGGAUGUGGUGGUGAACACUUGUAGUCCCAGCUACAGUAGCCCUGCUGAGGAAGAAGGAUGAUAUGAUCUGGGAGGUCGAGGCUGCAGUCAGCCGUGAUUGUACCACUGCACUCUAGCCUGGGUGACAGAGUGAGACCCUGUCUGAAAAAAAUAAAAAUAAGUAAUUUUGAUAAAGUCCAGUUUAUUACUUUUUUUUUUC